UGGGGAAUAUUGCACAAUGGGGGGAACCCUGAUGCAGCGACGCCGCGUGAGGGAAGAAGGUUUUUGGAUUGUAAACCUCUGUCCUUGGUAAAGAAGCAAGACGGUAGCCAAUGAGGAAGCCACGGCUAACUACGGGCACGUCGCCGCGGUAAUACGUAGGUGGCAAGCGUUGUCCGGAAUUACUGGGUGUAAAGGGAGCGUAGGCGGUUAUGCAAGUUGAAUGUGAAAUCUAUCGGCUCAACUGAUAGGCUGCGUUCAAAACUGUAUAUCUUGAGUGAAGUAGAGGCAGGCGGAAUUCCUAGUGUAGCGGUGAAAUGCGUAAAUAUUAGGAGGAACACCAGUGGCGAAGGCGGCCUGCUGGGCUUUAACUGACGCUGAGGCUCGAAAGCGUGGGUAGCAAACAGG
This 405-nucleotide ribosomal RNA is filed under the name uncultured bacterium. RNAcentral's name for it is "bacterial SSU rRNA". It matches the Rfam family "Bacterial small subunit ribosomal RNA", at positions 355 to 776 of the family's 1533-position model. The record is from RNAcentral.